This 253-nucleotide ribosomal RNA is filed under the name uncultured bacterium. Its description in RNAcentral is "partial 16S ribosomal RNA". It matches the Rfam family "Bacterial small subunit ribosomal RNA", at positions 524 to 776 of the family's 1533-position model. The record is from RNAcentral.
UACGAAGGGGGCUAGCGUUGCUCGGAAUCACUGGGCGUAAAGCGUGUGUAGGCGGUUUGUUAAGUCGGGUGUGAAAUCCCUGGGCUCAACCUGGGAAUUGCAUUCGAUACUGGCAAGCUAGAGUACGGUAGAGGGCGGCGGAAUUCCGGGUGUAGCGGUGAAAUGCGUAGAUAUCCGGAGGAACACCGAUGGCGAAGGCAACCGCCUGGGCCUGUACUGACGCUGAGACACGAAAGCGUGGGGAGCAAACAGG